GUGUCAGCCGCCGCGGUAAUACGUAGGGUCCGAGCGUUGUCCGGAAUUACUGGGCGUAAAGAGCUCGUAGGUGGUUUGUCGCGUUGUUCGUGAAAACCGGGGGCUUAACCCUCGGCGUGCGGGCGAUACGGGCAGACUGGAGUACUGCAGGGGAGACUGGAAUUCCUGGUGUAGCGGUGGAAUGCGCAGAUAUCAGGAGGAACACCGGUGGCGAAGGCGGGUCUCUGGGCAGUAACUGACGCUGAGGAGCGAAAGCGUGGGGAGCGAACAGGAUUAGAAACCCUAGUAGUCC
RNAcentral lists this ribosomal RNA (292 nucleotides) under uncultured Mycobacterium sp. Its description in RNAcentral is "partial 16S ribosomal RNA". It matches the Rfam family "Bacterial small subunit ribosomal RNA", at positions 505 to 796 of the family's 1533-position model. The record is from RNAcentral. Lineage: Bacteria; Bacillati; Actinomycetota; Actinomycetes; Mycobacteriales; Mycobacteriaceae.